CAAUCCUGAUUCUAGACCUCCAGACUCCCCUAUCAAGGGUCAUGUCCUCGGUAACCUGCAUUCUGGUCAUGUCCUGCCUAAUCACCUCUCCCAAAUGCUUCUUAGGCCUCCCUCUCCCUCGCCGACCACCAACAAUUUCCAGUCGCUCGCAGCUCCUCACCGGGGCAUCGGGGCCCCUCCUAUGAACAUGCCCGAACCACCUCAGCCUCGCUUCCCGCAUCUUCUCGUCCACCGGGGCCACCUCUACCUUCUGUCGAAUA
RNAcentral lists this long non-coding RNA (260 nucleotides) under Nicotiana benthamiana. RNAcentral describes it as "long non-coding RNA (NBEN_LNC033123)". Lineage: Eukaryota; Viridiplantae; Streptophyta; Magnoliopsida; Solanales; Solanaceae. The record is from RNAcentral.